Equus caballus (horse) is the source of this 2271-nucleotide long non-coding RNA. The record is from Ensembl. NCBI's taxonomy places the organism in Eukaryota, Metazoa, Chordata, Mammalia, Perissodactyla, Equidae.
GUUUCUUCGUCUGUAUAACGGGAUGAACGUCAGAACCAGCCCACGGGGCCGCCGCCAGGAGUAAUCCAGAUAAUACAAGCGAAAGUCUAGAACUGAGCUGGAAAUGCUAGGUGAAUACAGAAAGCUGCACCCAGUGGAAGUAAGCACAAAGGAAUAUACACAACGCACACACCCACACGCCUCCACCACCCGCCGGCCACCUCCACUCACGAAGUGUAGGAGCCAUCCCAUACACAUCUGCUGACACGCUUUCCUUCCGACGCCAGAUGACACUGUUUCCACCUCUUCAGAAUGACUCACCAGCUACAGUCCUUCGGAGCACGCUGCCACAAGCAAACCUCAGGUCUUUUUCCAGAGCGCGCCACUGGGCUCUCCACGUCUGGCCAGCAAAAGGGGAAAAGCCAGUUUGAAGACCUCCUGGGGCUUCAGGGUCCGUGGCCAGAAGAGCUGCUCUAGAGUGCCCACCUUCCAUUGGCCAGAAGGGGUCCAAGGCGUCACACAGACGCAAACGAGCCCAGGAAGAAAAUGAAUUGGUUUGGUAAACAAUUUUUGUGAAAAGUGCUGGUGGCAACCCACGAAAUGAACUUCCUGCCUCGCUGUGCGUCACAGGUGCAGCCGACGUGCGGAGGCUCACAGUCCAGGCCGCGCUCCCGGUGACGCCUCACCCUGUUCCGCAGGCUCGGUUUGGCUUCUGCCACGUGCAGCGUUCCCCUGCCUCUCUAGAGUGCCCCUAUAUCACCUGUCACCGUUGUGGUUAAGACGAGGGAGCGUUGAGUGACUUACAUCAAAGACAGGUCGGUGAAACCAGAUGCCAGCGUUCUUCCUCCAGCAGACCCGUGAGCAGGCAGGACCCACCUCACCGCCAGCCUGCACACAGCGCUCAGCAGAGCGCCCGGGCCUGGCCCCUGCAGGCCAUCCGUGCACCAGUGAGCCCUGCCUCUCCAGGGCCAGGGACUGCUAGGCCACGGCAGAACCCCGUGGCAGCUCACAGGGAGUAACCGUAACAUGGCCCCUUCCUGCAGGCCUCGGCUCUGGGCACCCUGCAAUUCCAGGUCACUGCGCCAGAGAGGAUGAGCACCCAGGCUGAGCUCACUACCUCCCUCCCUCCCUAAUGCCGACAGACCCUGAGACCUCAUUCAGUCCAGCCGUUACCACAGGGUCCGGCACAGAGAAAACAUCCAAGAAAUACCGUCAUCCAAGAGUCGCAUACCUGCUGGGUGUUACACGCUGCAUUAGGAACAACGGCAGCUCCGAACGAACAGAAAGCAGCAACGGACGACCUCGGGGAAACUGACCGUCUGUGGAGUUAGACAGGAGAGGCUCCCAAGCCACCUUUGAUUCCUUCCUGGACCACAGCCGUGGCCUCCCCUCCUGCCUGGGCUCCCGGCCUCCAGCUUUGCCCCCACACUCACUAUCUUCUCAGUGCAGCAGCCUUCGAUGUUCUCGCUCUCACUCAGUCAAUGCCAAAAUCCCUACCCAGCCACAAGGCCCUGCCGGGUCUCCCCUCAGAUGGGAGCACUACAGGCCCCUGCUCUCCCCACUCAACCCCGAGGCCUCCUUGCUGGUUCCAAACUCACUUCAGCCUGGAGGUCUUCGCACUUGCUUUUCCCUCUGGAAACCCCGUGGCUGGCUUCCUCUCUGUCCCUCAGAUCAUUACUCAGAUGUCAUUUCUCAGCGAAGCUGUCCCUGCCCGCUUCCUCUACUCUUCUCUGUAAAGCUCAUCGCCCUGUGCUUCCUUAUUUGGGUUGUCUUAUGUCUGCCUCAUGCACCACAAUGUAACCUCCAUGACAGCAAAGAAUUUUGUCCUUGUGUUCACUGACGUACGCAAUCACCUAGAACAAUGCAAAACACCCAGGAAGUACUUAUAGAAUGAAUGAAUGAAUGACUCGAGACAGGCAUUGAACAAUAAUGCAAGUGUUAUGAAUUGAACUGUGUCCCCCAAAAGAUGUUGAAGUCCUAACCCCUGUACCCGUGACUGUGACCUGUUGGGCAAUAGGGUCUUUGCAGAGAAUCGAGUUAAGGUGAGGUCAUUAGGGUGGGCCCUCAGCUAGUUUGACUGGUGUCCAUAUAACAGGAGGAUCUUGGACCCAGAAGCAGACACAUACAGAGGGAAGACGAUGGGAAGACGUGGGAGAAAGCCUGAGGAGGUAGACGAGAGGCCUGGAACAGAUUCUCCUUCACAACCUGCAGAGGGAACCAACCCUGCUGACUCCUGGCUUUCGGGCUUCGGCCUCCAGAUCUGCGAGAUAAUAAAUUUCUGUUGUUUCAAGC